RNAcentral lists this ribosomal RNA (509 nucleotides) under uncultured bacterium. RNAcentral describes it as "bacterial SSU rRNA". It matches the Rfam family "Bacterial small subunit ribosomal RNA", at positions 8 to 526 of the family's 1533-position model. The record is from RNAcentral.
AGAGUUUGAUCAUGGCUCAGAAUGAACGUUGGCGGCGUGGAUUAGGCAUGCAAGUCGAGCGAGAAGGUUCCUUCGGGAACUGGAAAGCGGCGAACGGGGUAGUAAUGCGUAGGUGACGUGCCCUUGGGGCCGGAAUAGCCACGGGAAACUGUGGGUAAUGCCGGAUAACCUCCCGAUCUUUGAAGAGAUGUGAUUCCACCCAUGGAGCGGCCUGCGUGGUAUUAGCUAGUUGGUGAGGUAAUGGCUCACCAAGGCUCAGAUGCCUAGGGGGUGUGAGAGCAUGGCCCCCACCACUGGGACUGAGAUACUGCCCAGACACCUACGGGUGGCUGCAGUCGAGAAUCUUCGGCAAUGGACGAAAGUCUGACCGAGCGACGCCGCGUGCGGGAUGAAGGCCCUCGGGUUGUAAACCGCUGUCAGAGGGGAUGAAAUGCGCAUGGGUUCUCCCAUACGCUUGACAGAGCCUCAGAGGAAGCACGGGCAGUACGUGCCAGCAGCCGCGGGAAUAC